GAAAUGCGAUACGUAAUGUGAAUUGCAGAAUUCAGUGAAUCAUCGAGUCUUUGAACGCACAUUGCGCCCCCUGGUAUUCCGGGGGGCAUGCCUGUCCGAGCGUCAUUGCUGCCCUCAAGCACGGCUUGUGUGUUGGGCCCCCGUUCCCCCCCAAGGGGACGGGCCCGAAAGGCAGCGGCGGCACCGUGUCCGGUCCUCGAGCGUAUGGGAAGCAACUUUUUGUCACCCGCUCCUGUAGGUCCGGCCGGCGGCCUGCCCAACCCCAACCUUUUUUUCAACCAGGUUGACCUCGGAUCAGGUAGGGAUACCCGCUGAACUUAAGC
This 323-nucleotide unclassified non-coding RNA is filed under the name plant metagenome. RNAcentral describes it as "partial contains 5.8S ribosomal RNA, internal transcribed spacer 2, and large subunit ribosomal RNA". The stretch from base 1 to 105 matches the Rfam family "5.8S ribosomal RNA", at positions 50 to 154 of the family's 154-position model. The record is from RNAcentral.